GACGAACGCUGGCGGCGUGCUUAACACAUGCAAGUCGAACGGAAAGGCCGUGUUUUUGUGGGGUGCUCGAGUGGCGAACGGGUGAGUAACACGUGAGUAACCUGCCCUUGACUUUGGGAUAACUUCAGGAAAGUGGGGCUAAUACCGGAAAGGAGUUCCUGCUGCAGGGUGGGGGUGGGAAAGUUUAGGCGGUUGGGGAUGGACUCGCGGCUUAUCGGGUCGUUGGUGGGGUAGUGGCUUACCAAGGCUGGGACGGGUAGCCGGCCUGCGAGGGUGACCGGCCACGUUGGGACUGGGCUAAGGCCCAGCCUCGAACGGGAGGCAGCAGUGGGGAAUAUUGCACAAUAGGAGGAAGCCUGAUGCAGCAACGCCGCGUGCGGGAUGACGGCCUUCGGGUUGUGAACCGCUUUCGCCUGUGACGAAGCGUGAGUGACGGUAAUGGGUAAAGAAGCACCGGCUAACUACGUG
This 468-nucleotide ribosomal RNA is filed under the name uncultured bacterium. RNAcentral describes it as "partial 16S ribosomal RNA". It matches the Rfam family "Bacterial small subunit ribosomal RNA", at positions 28 to 507 of the family's 1533-position model. The record is from RNAcentral.